AGUAAAAAAGUGUUUUGUGCACAUGGAGUUUUGGUCUCCAAAGAGAUAAUUCACUUUGUCUUUUACUA
RNAcentral lists this transfer RNA (68 nucleotides) under Marcia hiantina. RNAcentral describes it as "tRNA-Gln". Lineage: Eukaryota; Metazoa; Mollusca; Bivalvia; Venerida; Veneridae. The record is from RNAcentral.